GACGAACGCUGGCGGCGUGCUUAACACAUGCAAGUCGAACGGAAAGGCCCAGCUUGUGUGGGGUGCUCGUGUGGCGAAGGGGUGUGACACAUGAGCGACACCCGCCCUUGACUGUGGGAAAUAUCGAGGAAACUGGGGAUUACACCGGAUAGGCGCUCCUGCCGUCUGGUGGGGGUUGGAAAGUUUCGGCGGUUUGGGAUGGACUAGCGGCUUAUCAGCUUGUUGGUGGGGUAGUGGCUUACCAAGGCGUUGACGGGUAGCCGGCCUGAGAGGGUGACCGGCCACAUUGGGACUGAGACACGGCCCAGACUCCUACGGGAGGCAGCAGUGGGGAAUAUUGCACAAUGGGCGGAAGCCUGAUGCAGCAACGCCGCGUGCGGGAUGACGGCCUUCGGGUUGUAAACCGCUUUCGCUAGUGACGAAGCGUGAGUGACGGUAACUGGUGAAAAAGCACCGGCUAACUACGUG
This 468-nucleotide ribosomal RNA is filed under the name uncultured bacterium. Its description in RNAcentral is "partial 16S ribosomal RNA". It matches the Rfam family "Bacterial small subunit ribosomal RNA", at positions 28 to 507 of the family's 1533-position model. The record is from RNAcentral.